CAAGGGACAUACCAAGUCACAAUCCCUACGGGUUCUCGCCCGUCACCUAGCAUGUGUGUCAUCUUAUUUAUCAAAACAGUACGAAAUACCGGGGUUUCAUACCCUCAAUACAAAUGUACAAUCAUUACUUACCUCAAAUCGGGUGAAAUACUACUCUGUGAUGCCCUUGCCUCUCAAAUCGGCCUCAACUCACUUCGAAGCUAUCCAAAAACAACAUCACAAUAUCAAUAUAUGCUAUGGAUGAAGCCCAUGCGAAAAUAAUCAAAUUACAAUACAAAUCCCGAAAUUGGCCAAACCCGACCCUCAGGCCCACGUCUUGGAAUCCGAUAAAACUUAUGUCAAUAGAACCCUUAUCCUCUCACGAUUUCCAUACAUACCAAGAAUACCAAAAUCUGACCACAAAUGGCUUCUCUAAUCCCUAAAUUUAGAUCUCCAAUUUAUAAGCCCUAAACUCCCAAUUUUAACCACUAAUUACCACAAAUUUCAAGCUUAAAUAGUCAUAAACCAUCAUAGAAACAAGUUUAGGGUCCAAAAACCUUACCUCCACGAAAUCCUAUUGAAUUCCCUCUUCAAUUUGCUCUCUCAAGCUCAAACCCCUAUGUGAAAAUGGUGGAAUAACCAAAAAUUUGCGAAGGAGGAUUAUAUACUUUCCGACACAGGGUUUUUGCACAUGAGGUCCCUUUACCGCAACUACGGUAACGCUUCUUUGGCCAAACAACCGUUUUACGGUUUCCACUUAAGUCUUUCAAAACCGCAGCUGUGCAUCCUGUUCUGCUCUUGCGGUCUCGCAAGUGCGCUGAGCCUUUCGCACCUGUGCCUUCUGACCAUCCUUGCCCAUGGUUGCAUCUACGGCUUCUCUUCCACUUCUGUGAUCCCGCACCUACAAUUCCCAAUCCGCAGGCGCGGUUAUGACAACAAAAUCAGCAGCUUCAGCUGCACAAUUAUCACACUUCCUUUUUUGCCAUCCACAACCUGGUGAAGGGCAUAGAUAAGUGAGUUUUUUCAAUUAAAGAACAAUCGAAACGGGAUUCAAUUAUUAAAAAGAAUUUCAGAGUCGCCACCUGAGAGGUUUAUGGUGUCCCAAGUCAUCGGUUAGAAUCCCGCAUCGAGGAAAAAGUGACUCUGUUUAAUAGUCCGCGAACCAGAAAUCCGAGUAUGGAAUUAUAUUAACUCGGGAGAAGGUGUUAGUCAUUCCCGAAUUUCGUGGUUCUAGCACGGUCGCUCAACUGUCAUAUUUGGCUUAAAUUAUCUGAUUUUAGAACAUGCAACGAGAAAUUCGAGUAAGGAAUUCUGUUAACCCGGGAGAAAGUGUUAGGCAUUCCCGGGUUUCGUGGUUCUAGUACAGUCGCUCAACUGUCAUAUUUGGCUAAAAUUAUUUGAUUUUAGAACAUGUUCUAACUUGGGUACUUUUUGACUUUAAACCGCUUUUAUCAUUAUUUUAAGAAGAAUUGCAACGUUGUUAAAACGUGUCUUAAACCACGUCACAUAAAUGCACCUGUGAUUUUUGACACAUUUCAACUUCGUUGGGAUUUGGAUUUGAAUCGCAUAAAUGUGCACCCGAAUUUAGGAAAGUAAUAUUAUUAAGCACACACCUAAUUAUGUGUUUGCAGCUUUGCGAGGGCCAUAGAAAUUUCACUAAAUGGCACGCCUCGACUUCUAAGGAUUCAAAAUUAAUUAAAUGAGGGCCAUGAGCUUAGGAGUUUUAUUUGGCAUGGCACGCCUCCAUUUAUUUCAAAAGAUUGGACUCCACUCAAAGCCAACUAUGAAUGUUCGUAAUUAUUAACGGCCUAAUCCUGUUACUAGCAUUCCAAGCCAAUCAGAUAAUAUAUAUAGUAUACAUGAAUUCAAAUCUCAUUUGUGAUGCCCGAAAAAUGGCAACUACCUCGAUUCCAAACUUUAAAACAAACUACUAAAGCUGCCCCUCACAAAUUGAGAUUAGCUAAAUCAUGUUCAACCUAAACAUACAAAUAUGAGAAAGUCAAAUUGAUAUCAGUUUUGAAUUAAGCUACAGCGUCAGUGAUUUCUUAGUCUUGUGACCAUAUCAUAUUAUAAUACUGAAUACGAUCUAUAGUUACGCUACAACCAAUUUACGUUAGCUCUAACUCUGACUUCAGGUAUAACUUGUUCCAAGAAUUCAUUGUUUGGGACAGCAUAUUUUAAUGUCUGGUGAAACGAGAAACAGGGAACCUUGUCCACAUAAAACAGUAAACAACUCCAAAUUCUUAGAUUCGAUAGUCUAAAUUUUAACAAGAUAAAAUGAACAAUCAAUAUUGUAGACUGAUGAACAGAACCAUCCAAGCAUAUCAAACAAAAUUAAACAUGAAAACUCAUCACAAAUAUUCGAAUAAUUUGGUAAAAGGAAAACGGAAGAACCUCUGUUUGCUUCCAAGUAAUUGAAAUGGAUACUGUAUCGACGAAUCCAAAAUUGCAAUUCCAAAUAUGCAGUAGAAAAUGACCCGAACGGAACACGGACUCGAUGAUCUCGAACGGGACGGCACAAAGCUGGUAACCAGAAUUUCUGACUGGUUCAAGUUCGAGCUUCGAAUCUGGAAAUGGUGGUUGUUUUCAGGUGGUCAAGCUGUUGUUUCCGGCGAGUCUGAGGCUAGCAGAGGCCUUGUGUGUGCGUGUGUUUUCCGGCGAGCUGGGGUCGUCUGGUUCGUCGAAGAAGACGAUCACCAGGGGGUGGGGGUCUUUUUCCAAAAGCUGCGCAGCUUUUUUCGUUCUCUAUCGUGUAUUGUGUGUGAAUUUUUGUGAAGAAGAAG
This 2762-nucleotide long non-coding RNA is filed under the name Nicotiana benthamiana. Its description in RNAcentral is "long non-coding RNA (NBEN_LNC024248)". The record is from RNAcentral. Lineage: Eukaryota; Viridiplantae; Streptophyta; Magnoliopsida; Solanales; Solanaceae.